RNAcentral lists this ribosomal RNA (449 nucleotides) under uncultured bacterium. RNAcentral describes it as "bacterial SSU rRNA". It matches the Rfam family "Bacterial small subunit ribosomal RNA", at positions 330 to 795 of the family's 1533-position model. The record is from RNAcentral.
GCCAGACUCCUACGGGAGGCAGCAGUGGGGGAUAUUGCACAAUGGGGGAAACCCUGAUGCAGCGACGCCGCGUGAGUGAAGAAGUAUUUCGGUAUGUAAAGCUCUAUCAGCAGGGAAGAAAAAAGACGGUACCUGACUAAGAAGCCCCGGCUAACUACGUGCCAGCAGCCGCGGUAAUACGUAGGGGGCAAGCGUUAUCCGGAUUUACUGGGUGUAAAGGGAGCGUAGACGGCAAUACAAGUCGGAAGUGAAAUACCCGGGCUCAACCUGGGAACUGCUUUGGAAACUGUAUGGCUGGAGUGCUGGAGAGGUAAGCGGAAUUCCUAGUGUAGCGGUGAAAUGCGUAGAUAUUAGGAGGAACACCAGUGGCGAAGGCGGCUUACUGGACAGUAACUGACGUUGAGGCUCGAAAGCGUGGGGAGCAAGCAGGAUUAGAUACCCCGGUAAUC